Molecule: ribosomal RNA, 253 nt
Filed under: uncultured bacterium
Lineage: Bacteria
Description: partial 16S ribosomal RNA
Rfam family: Bacterial small subunit ribosomal RNA
Source: RNAcentral
UACAUGGGGUGCAAACGUUGCUCGGAAUUAUUGGGCGUAAAGCGCGCGUAGGCGGUUACUCAAGUCGGAUGUGAAAGCCCUCGGCUUAACUGAGGAAGUGCACCCGAAACUGAGUAGCUAGAGUACUAAAGAGGGUCGCGGAAUUCCCGGUGUAGAGGUGAAAUUCGUAGAUAUCGGGAGGAACACCGGUGGCGAAGGCAGCUCGCUGGGACGUGACUGACGCUGAGACGCGAAAGCGUGGGGAGCAAACAGG